GGAGAGAUGGCUGAGUGGACUAAAGCGGCCGCCUCGAAAGCGGCUGUACCCAAAAGGUACCGCAGGUUCGAAUCCUGCUCUCUCCG
This 86-nucleotide transfer RNA is filed under the name Candidatus Omnitrophota bacterium. RNAcentral's name for it is "tRNA-Ser". It matches the Rfam family "tRNA". Rfam says of the family: Transfer RNA (tRNA) molecules are approximately 80 nucleotides in length. The record is from RNAcentral. Lineage: Bacteria; Pseudomonadati; Candidatus Omnitrophota.